UUGGAGGGCAAGUCUGGUGCCAGCAGCCGCGGUAAUUCCAGCUCCAAUAGCGUAUAUUAAGGUUGUUGCAGUUAAAAAGCUCGUAGUUGAAUUUCGGGGUUCUACCGUUGGUCGGGCUUUGUCUGUACUGGUGUGUAGAAUUUCUACCUUCUGGGGAACCAUCAUGCUAUUAAUUUAGCGUGGUGGGAAACCAGGACCUUUACCUUGAAAAAAUUAGUGUGUUCAAAGCAGGCUUAUGUCUGAAUACAUUAGCGUGGAAUAAUAGAAUAGGACGGUGGUCCUGUUUUGUUGGUUUCUGAAUCACCGUAAUGAUUAAUAGGGAUAGUUGGGGGCAUUAGUAUUCAAUUGUCAGAGGUGAAAUUCUUGGAUUUAUUGAAGACUAACUUCUGCGAAAGCAUUUGCCAAGGAUGCUUUCAUUAAUCAAGAACGAAAGUUAGGGGAUCGAAGACGAUCAGAUACCGUCGUAGUCUUAACCAUAAACUAUGCCGACUAGGGAUCGGACGAUGUUAAUUUUUCUUGACUCGUUCGGCGCCUUACGGGAAAC
Molecule: ribosomal RNA, 544 nt
Filed under: uncultured Glomeromycotina
Lineage: Eukaryota; Fungi; Glomeromycota
Description: SSU rRNA
Rfam family: Eukaryotic small subunit ribosomal RNA
Source: RNAcentral